GGUUAAGCGACUAAGCGUACACGGUGGAUGCCCUGGCAGUCAGAGGCGAUGAAGGACGUGCUAAUCUGCGAUAAGCGUCGGUAAGGUGAUAUGAACCGUUAUAACCGGCGAUUUCCGAAUGGGGAAACCCAGUGUGAUUCGUCACACUAUCAUUAACUGAAUCCAUAGGUUAAUGAGGCGAACCGGGGGAACUGAAACAUCUAAGUACCCCGAGGAAAAGAAAUCAACCGAGAUUC
RNAcentral lists this ribosomal RNA (236 nucleotides) under Escherichia coli. RNAcentral's name for it is "partial 23S ribosomal RNA". It matches the Rfam family "Bacterial large subunit ribosomal RNA", at positions 1 to 237 of the family's 2925-position model. RNAcentral also lists the same sequence under 2 other names. The record is from RNAcentral. Lineage: Bacteria; Pseudomonadati; Pseudomonadota; Gammaproteobacteria; Enterobacterales; Enterobacteriaceae.